AAAAAAAUCAUCCACGCUAUUGUUAAGAAACUACAAAAGCCCCUCCUUCACUACUACUUUUUGCAACAGCUGUUGGAACUUUUCACUUUUAAUACCAACUCAACUUAAAUCAAUGGAGACAAAUGCUAUCAUGAGUUUGAUUUAACUACAGCUUCAUUCUAACGGUUGAAGAUGAAGUUUGUUCAUUCAGCGGCAUCUCUACCAUGCAAUUUGAUUGGUCUUUCGUCCGAGAUAUUUUUUUCCGUUUCAACGACCGUAAUUUCCUUGGUUAAAUGCAUAUGCAUUCGAACAGAACCUACAAAUAGUGCUCAAGAAGCAAUGCAACUUUUGACAUCAUAAUUUUUAUUUACUUUGAUUUGUUCAGUGUAAGUGAACCUCAGUUUGUGAUGGAUAUAGGUGCAUUGGGAUACCGAGCAAAAUAGUGGGCAUGUUAUCAAACUUUAGUGAUCAUAAUUCAGAAAUGUUUCUUGAAGCUGGAGUUAAUGGCAACACUCAGAAACCUUUGACUCGAAGAAUUUUUGAACACAUCAUUGAAAUUCUUCACUUCAUAUGAAUAUGAUGUUCGUCAUUGUUAUGAUGUGCUAUGCUCAAAAUUUGUAGGAGAGAGAGAGACAUUGACUAUUUUAAGUUUAAAUAUUAAAUAAAUUAUGAAAUGUAUGGGAUUAAAAAUAAAAGUAGUUUAUCUACAAUAUUUUUGAAAAUAAUAACUACAGAGAACAGUUUGAUGAAGGAAGCAAACUCAUCAUCAAUGAAUGAAAGGACUAAUGCAACUGAAAAGAUGGAAUCUAAUCUCUCGUCAAUUCCUGAACCAUUACCAAAAACUAUGAUUGGACUUGCAUCAUCGCCGCAGCAAGACAUAAUACUUUCUAAUCCUCCUCAAAGUCACAUUAUCACAAUACUAAUGGAUGAUAUUGGAUUCACCUGAGCCUCCUUAAGGCUAAAUUUCUAUCUCCUAGCUAUAUGUUCUCAUGU
Molecule: long non-coding RNA, 972 nt
Organism: Vicia villosa (hairy vetch)
Lineage: Eukaryota; Viridiplantae; Streptophyta; Magnoliopsida; Fabales; Fabaceae
Exons: 4
Source: RefSeq, a predicted model, not a curated record